RNAcentral lists this long non-coding RNA (388 nucleotides) under Vigna radiata. Its description in RNAcentral is "long non-coding RNA (VRAD_LNC011578)". The record is from RNAcentral. Lineage: Eukaryota; Viridiplantae; Streptophyta; Magnoliopsida; Fabales; Fabaceae.
GGAAGGGUUACGAGUAGAGCGUAUACCUUUACGGAGGGCAAUAGGCAGUUCAGACUCAUUUGCUGGAGCUGGAGGAGACACAGGAGGCGGCACAGGAGGUGAGUCAUGAGGGAGACGAUUGCGGCGACUAUAAACCUGGAUGGGUGGAGUUGAAGGACGAUCCUGUGUGGAAUGAGAGUCUAAAGGAUCACAGACAAUAGGAAUAUCAACAGUGGUAGGUGAAGGUACANAACUAGAAGAUGGUUGUGAAAAAUAAAACGAAGAUUCAUCAAAAGUGACAUCAGCAGAGAUAAAAUGACGAUUGAGAGAAGGAGAAAAACACUUAUAGCCCUUUUGUGACCGUGGAAAUCCUAAGAAGACACAUUUGUGAGAUCUAGGAGAUAACUUA